Alligator mississippiensis (American alligator) is the source of this 5722-nucleotide long non-coding RNA. RefSeq lists it as uncharacterized. NCBI's taxonomy places the organism in Eukaryota, Metazoa, Chordata, Crocodylia, Alligatoridae. The transcript has 5 exons. The record is from RefSeq and is a predicted model, not a curated record.
GGCCUGGGAUUCAGUCAGCUCCCCACAUCUGCUAAACCAUGGCAGAAAGCUGCAUAUAGUAGCAUCCCCUGCUACCUUGCAGCUCACCUUUUACGUGUACAUUUUACGCCUAAAAUGUAUGGCUUGACUUUUACCCUGUCCAUGGAAACUUUUCUGUUCAGCCUGUUUCACACAAACUAAUUGUGCACCUUUGGGCCAAAGCUUGUAACUAUGUGCAAGGAACAGAUUCCAGCUUCAAGAAUGCAAAUGCUGCAGAGAUGAGUGCCUGGGCUGAAUGUGUGUCCUUGCAUCACUGAGAUAUACUGUACCCAGCACAGAAGAGUGAGCUGGAGAUAGAAGCCAUCAAAAAGUCUGUUGGACACUUGUCCUUGUAUAAGGAUUUAGUCCACAUAUUUGUUAUGUAACACACAGUGCGUGUCACUUUUUUUCUUUUUACAAUAAGAAAACAUUUGUCUAUCUGCUUUAUAUUUUAGUGGGUACAAUGUACAGGUGGAUUUCUCUCUCACAAAUGAAAGGUCAGAAAGAAGUAAGGUGGAGGGGAAAGGAGGCAUGGACAGAGUUGAGUGAGCUUUACUCUUCCUUUGCUUGCAGUCUGUUGCUGAGGUUUUAACAUCUGUGUUGUCUUGUGUUUCAGAGCCUGCCUUCAGAUGAAAGAAGCCAGAAAGCUCUUGACCAAAGGCUGGAGGUACAAUGCGUGUUGUUCAUGCUCUGUGUGUCAACUUGGAGCAGAAAGUGAAAGCUACCCUUCACCAGCGAAAGCUAGCAGCAGAGGCAUAAUGCCCAUGGGUCCCUACUCCGUUCUAAUCAGCCCUAACAUUAAGUGAUGUCCUCAAUGUUUGUGAACCUCUUCCAUUUGCUUUCAUUCUCCAUACGAAAACGGCAAGGCUUCUUUCAAAAGUCAUACAGCGCCCAGCGGAGUCCAACCUCCUAAUGAAAGGGACAGGAAUCCACCAGACACCCCGUGUGCACAGUGCCCAACUAAUCGGUGGCAGCAGGUACCUCUCAAGGGCAGGGCAGUCUGAGCAACUGGUGUGCCUGCUCCCCAGGCACCCCUUGGGAACAGGUAUGCAGCCCUGGGGCCCCUGGAGGAGGAGGCAGAAGAACUGGUCCCCAGAGGAAUUGAAGCCGGUUGACCUACAUCACCAGCUCAGAAGAGUCACAGCCCAAGAAGGAGAUGCAAAGUUCUGGUCAUCGCGGACUCCAUCCUGAGGGGAACCGAUGGUGCAAACUGUCACCCAGAGCCCUGGUCACGGCAGGUCUGCUGCAUGCCUGGAGCGAGGAUUCGCAAUGUCGCAGAGACCAUUCCUAAAAUCAUCAAGCCCUCUGACUACUACCCACUGGUUGUGGUCCAUGUGGGUACAAAUGAUGCAUCCAAGGGCAAGCUGGAUAACAUCAUGGAGGGGACUACAAGGCCUUGGGACACCAGCUGAAGAGGAUGGGAGCUCAGGUGGUAUUUUCCUUCAUUCUUCUGGUUUGCUGAUCUCAUGUGGCGGGCUUUAAACUAGCUUCACUGGGGGAAGGGGCUGCUUUGAGUGAAGAGGAUACUUCACCAGCACGCAGGGUGACGAGAGGAAGGGAAGAACAGGUUUAAGGGACAUCUGUUUCUAUGUUUGCUAGUAGUAAUAAAAGAAAGGAGAAUGAAUGAAUGGUGAGAUAGGGAUCCAUGCAUUCAGUCCACUCGGAUCUGAACCUGAUACCUUCCACAUCCAGACCGGGGUCAAACAAAGUUGUGUGAUCGUCCCCACCUUGUUUACCAUCUACCUGACCGUCAUCAUCCACCUCAUCCAAGAUGAUCUACCAUCUGGCGUCCGUAUUCAGUAUCGACUGGAUGGGAAGCUUUUUCAUCUUGGGCACUUCUGGGCAUAAAUGAAGCUCACCACCAAGGACACCCACAACCUUAAGUUUGCUUCUGAUUGCUGCUUGAUGGCUGACUCUGCACAGGAUAUGCAAGCGACCCUAGAGCUCUUCAACACUUUGUACAAGAGACUUGGCCUGUCCCUGAAUGCUGCCAAGAUGAAGCUUCUCCAAAAACUCUUCCUAGGCCUGCUGGAGAACUGAACAUCCCUUGCACUAUCUAUAUAGACGAGGAGGCUCCGCAGUACGUGGAGCACCUUCCAUAUCUCAGCAGCCACCUCCCUCAAUGGGCUAACAGCAAUAAAGAAGUCCAGCACCAGGUCAGCUGCUCCAGUGGUGCUGCCUUCAAGCUGUGACAAUGUGCCUUCAAAAAUAGGGACCUUGGGAAGUCGAUGAAGGUCCUGGUUUAUAAGGCUGUUGUGCUGACCACCCUCCACUACUGCAGUGAAACCUGGACCAUCUACCCAUACCUCAUUAAGGCCCUCGAGAGUUUUGACCGGUGGUGCUUGCAUCGAAUCCUGGGGACCAAAUAGGAGGACUGCCAGACCAGCAUGUGCGUCCUUCAUGAAGCUGCAUCAACCAGCAUCAAAGCCUUGCUCUUGAGAAAUCAACUCCAAUGAAUAGGCCACUGAGUCUGGAUGUCCAAGAACCACCUCUUUCUCACCAGAUUCUCUUCUCCCAGCUCUCCAUUGGCCAAUGCUCAAAGGGAUGCCAAAGGAAACAGUACAAAGACAAACUCAAGGUUACGCGCAAGCACCGGGGCAUAGACACCAAUGGCUGGGAGGAGCAAGCUGCUGACCAUUCAGCAUGGCACCACCUGGUCCACCAAGGUGUCUGCCACUUUGAGGCACAAUGACAUGAUAGUGAGGUGGAACGGUGGUGGUGGAGGAAGCAGAAGAGGCCAACUCAGUACUCCGAAUCCCACUCCCCCGUGCAACAACAUGCCCCCUUUGUCAAAGAACGUGUGCAUCUAGAAUCAGGCUCCUCAGUCACCUGAGGACCCAUCAAGCCUGAUGGAUGUCAUCCUCAACCUCGAGGGACCACCAAUGCAUGCAUUCAGUGCAGGUUUCCAGAGAGCUCAGCUCCCAUUUAUGUAUCAGAAAAGGGGAACAAUUUUUGGAAGAGCUCAGAUCUUUGGGUUCUGAGCACUGCUAGAAAAUCUGAGCAAGAGCUGAUCUGGCAAGGGGCAUGUGGGAUAAUUUUGUGUCAACAAAGGAAGAAUUUUGUGUGUGAAAGCAUCUAAUCAUUGAUCUUGUGUUGUUCUCUAUUGUUUUUCCUCCUUACGUCUCCAUUUUCAUAUAAUGUCAACCAUAAUGAUAGUCCCUAGGGAGAGGGUACUUUUCCUUUCUUGCAAUGGUGAGAGCAGCACUGCCAGGGACUGGAUGAGAGUUUUUAUUGCUCAGCACUAAUUGCUGCUCACAGGCAGUCUAGGAAAAAUGUCUUUUCUGCCUGUUCAUCAGAAAGAAGUUUGGAGCCAGUGCUUGCAAGUGUCUUCAGUCAUUUUUAAGUAAACUUGCAAAGACAUGUUUUCCCCACAUGUACUUGACAGAGUGGAGUUUUUAAAGUGACCUUUUUUUUUUUUUUUUUAAUGCUUAACCACUGGGAAUGAAUACAAGGGUAAUUAACACUGCGAGCAUCUCUUUGCCCAGAAGAAUUACAGGCAUGGAAAUUGGGGUAAAACUGCACUUCAUAAAUUUAGUGGAUACAAAACAUCCUGGACUACAUAUAGGGUAUAAUGUGCCAUAAAUCCAAUGUCUGUUUGCUAUCUGGUUAACCUCAGGUAACCUCUGUACAUUUUACCAGCUAUUUUCUUAUCACCAGGUCAACACUCCUUUCCCCGCCAUGUACCUGUCUCACACCUGUUGUCUCCCAUAUCCUCUGUCCCUCACUGCAUUGUAUUUGCAUUUUCACAGACCUGGAUUUUGCAUAUUGGCCUCCUCUUCCAUUCCAGCAAAUCACUUUGGAACCAAGAGUUCUAGUUUGUUGCAUGUCUUCUAUUCCAUGCAGCUACUUCAGAGUCUAUGCCCUGCAAGACAUCAUAGUGAUAUCAUGACUGAAACCCCCCAGACUUUCAACUGGAAGUUGACAUUGAUAGCAAUGGAUUUACAGAUCAAAUUAAUAUUCUGAAACAUAAUUAACUCUAAUUGAAGUGAUCUAUAAUUCAGUUCAACCUGAGUGGAGCAUCCAUAAUAGUCUUUUCUUUUAACCUUCCAAUUUCCCUUUCCUUACAAAUUAUGUUAGUACUAGUGGAAUUUGAGGUAGGGGGAGGAGGAGGAAUAGCAGGGAAACAGCUUGUUCCACUUGUAUGGUAUAUUGAAUGUGUGACCUUUUUAACUUUUAUUUACAAUGAAGCCUAACGGCUAACCCCACACUGAAGCACCCUUAUGCCCCAGGCAACCCGGCCACAGCAUGUUGAGCUGAGGGGAGCAGCCCUGGGCCUACAGGCUGACCCCAGGGCCCCCCACCAUCCACGGCUCCUCCAAUCUGGCUCAACAUGCUGCAGUCCUGGGCAAACAUUCAAACAGCAUGUCUGGAAGCACUAAACUCUGAAGCAAUAAACUCCAGGGUUUAUCGCUUCACAUUAAUGUAGAUACACCCAACCGGUAGGUCUUUUCAUGCAGCUAGUUACUACUCUACAGAAGGGAAGGUGGCAGAAGGAGGGUUAACAUUUCUCUGUGAGCUAUUUGGUGAAUUCAAAAUCCUUGCUGCUUUUCUGCUCUAGGAAAUAAGGAAACUUCUUAGUCCCCCGUGGGCACACAGGUGCUUCAAGUGGCAGCACUAGGUUGGAAAGGACUUGGACUCCAACCUGCCAGUAGCAUAACUGAACUGCAAUGGAGAGGGGAAGCCUGGCAAGGGUUAUUUCUCCUGGCACAGCUUACCUUCCUCCUUGGAGACAGCAGGGGCUGUAUUGAGAUAGCACUAGUUGUCAUUGUCAGGACAAAACCAGCUAAUUAUCAUAUUUACUACGGUGGUCCCUAAAGCCCCAGACUGUAAUGAGGACCUUAUUGUGCUAGGCAGCUGUACAUACAUAGUUUGAUACAGUCCCUGCCUUGAAGAAUUUACCUUCUAGAUGGGCAAUAAGGAAAAUAAUGUUUAUAGCCUCCCCAUAUUUAAUGUAUAGGAAACUGGAGCUCAGAUUGCUCAUGGGCACCUAUAGAAUCUCAUCUUAUUUUCUACAGUGAUCCAGGCCCAUAGCCUUUAAGUCUCUGGCUUUCACUGACACUUGAGCUUUCUAAGUGCCAACCUCAUUUGUGAUAGUACUUAGACUUCUGAAUCAGCACAUAGUUCCAGAAAGAAAUUAAUGAUGAGACUUGCCCAAGGUCACAUGUCAAAUCUGUGGCCGACCUAGGAGUAGAAGAUGUUACUUCUGAGCCUCUGCACGUUGCUUCAACACAAGGUCCAGCCUCUUUCCGCACCUUGGUAUACUUGCUUUUUCAAGAGUGCCUGUCAUUGUGGUUUCCAGUUUAUCUGCUGGUCUCCCAUCUCAAUAUCUCCCCUCCUCCCCCCUCAAAUAAAGCAUUUCAAGCAAGGCGGUGAAUUCCCUGUCCCUUCCAGUGAGUGAGCAAGCUCCUCAAUCUCACAUGGUAAGUGUGUGUAUUACAGCAAGCACUAAAGCAAAUCCUGUGAUCAACAGCUUCCAUUUGUUGCUUCACACUGUUACUUUAAUUUCACCUCAAACUUACAUGUCAAACUUUGUUAGCUUUACUUGCAUUGCCAUAGCAGAUGGAUGGCAGCCUUGGAAGGAUCUGUUUCUGCUUUUGUUUCUCAUUUAACAUAUAACUAUGUACAACAAGAAACAGAACCCACAACUGAACUAGGUUAUAGUUAAAGGGUUCAUAGUGGUGUGACUAAAUGAAUGGAAAAUCCA